Molecule: unclassified non-coding RNA, 531 nt
Filed under: uncultured Pelagibacterales bacterium
Lineage: Bacteria; Pseudomonadati; Pseudomonadota; Alphaproteobacteria; Candidatus Pelagibacterales
Description: partial 16S-23S ribosomal RNA intergenic spacer
Rfam family: Bacterial large subunit ribosomal RNA (bases 417-531)
Source: RNAcentral
CCUCCUUUCUAAGGAUGAGUGAAAGUAAAAUUUCACUCUAAAUAAUAUACAUCGGUAAUGUUGACCGUCCUCAUUUCUCUUCUUAAAGUAAUGUUUCCUUCUUGUAGGGCCGGUAGCUCAGUUGGUUAGAGCACACCCUUGAUAAGGGUGGGGUCGAAAGUUCGAGUCUUUCUCGGCCCACCAAAAACCUAAAUGGGGGAUUAGCUCAUCUGGGAGAGCGCCUGAUUUGCAUUCAGGAGGUAGCAGGUUCGAUCCCUGUAUCCUCCACCAGGAAACAUUUAGUUAUUAAAAAUGUAAUAAAAAUAAAUUAUAUCAAUAUCUAUAUCCGAACAUUAAAAGUUAUUAUUUAAUGUUCAAAAUAAAAAUUUGAUCACAUCAUAGAAAAAUAUUUUAAAAAGAAUUUUUUUCUGUGCAUAAAUCAAGCGUUUAAGGGCGUGUAGUGGAUGCCUNGGCACUGAAAGCCGAUGAAGGACGUGAUAUACUGCGAUAAGUUUCGGGGAGCUGUAUGUAAGCUUUGAUCCGAANAUUCCG